GGACUACCCGGGUAUCUAAUCCCGUUUGCUCCCCUGGCUUUCGUGCCUGAGCGUCAGUCAAGGACCAGGUCGCCGCCUUCGCCACCGGUGUUCUUCCCAAUAUCUACGAAUUUCACCUCUACACUGGGAAUUCCACGACCCUCUUCCAAACUCUAGUCCACACGUAUCAAAUGCAGCCCCCAGGUUGAGCCCAGGAAUUUCACAUCUGACUGUGCAAACCGCCUACGCGCCCUUUACGCCCAGUCAUUCCGAGCAACGCUAGCCCCCUUCGUAUUACCGCGGCUGCUGGCAC
RNAcentral lists this ribosomal RNA (292 nucleotides) under uncultured bacterium. RNAcentral's name for it is "partial 16S ribosomal RNA". The record is from RNAcentral.